GUGUCUGGUGGGUAGUUUGACUGGGGCGGUCUCCUCCCAAAGCGUAACGGAGGAGCACGAAGGUUAGCUAAUCCUGGUCGGACAUCAGGAGGUUAGUGCAAUGGCAUAAGCUAGCUUGACUGCGAGCGUGACGGCGCGAGCAGGUGCGAAAGCAGGUCAUAGUGAUCCGGUGGUUCUGAAUGGAAGGGCCAUCGCUCAACGGAUAAAAGGUACUCCGGGGAUAACAGGCUGAUACCGCCCAAGAGUUCAUAUCGACGGCGGUGUUUGGCACCUCGAUGUCGGCUCAUCACAUCCUGGGGCUGAAGUAGGUCCCAAGGGUAUGGCUGUUCGCCAUUUAAAGUGGUACGCGAGCUGGGUUUAGAACGUCGUGAGACAGUUCGGUCCCUAUCUGCCGUGGGCGCUGGAGAAUUGAGGGGGGCUGCUCCUAGUACGAGAGGACCGGAGUGGACGCAUCACUGGUGUUCGGGUUGUCAUGCCAAUGGCACUGCCCGGUAGCUAAAUGCGGAAGAGAUAAGUGCUGAAAGCAUCUAAGCACGAAACUUGCCCCG
This 548-nucleotide ribosomal RNA is filed under the name Klebsiella pneumoniae. RNAcentral's name for it is "partial 23S ribosomal RNA". It matches the Rfam family "Bacterial large subunit ribosomal RNA", at positions 2254 to 2801 of the family's 2925-position model. The record is from RNAcentral. Lineage: Bacteria; Pseudomonadati; Pseudomonadota; Gammaproteobacteria; Enterobacterales; Enterobacteriaceae.